CUUAUCAUGACCUUACAUGGUAAUGCUGCACUGUUGUUAUUCUAAAUUUUGUUAUUGGCAUAUCAAUAUCAGAAUAGUCUAUUGAUUUCAUAUGAGAAGCUAGGGAAGCUUAAUAAGUUUAUUAAAGUUAUGCUGUGUGUUUCAUUGAUAUGUUUAAACAUAAUACACAAAGAGAAAUAAACUGUAUAUUAACUACACGAUGUUUGAACCAAACCCACAGUUUGAAUAAUAAUUAGCACUUGAAAACAACCAAUCAGAGCCCGACUUUUGCUGGUGUUUCCCAGAGCCUCAGCAAGCCUCCACAGAGGAUUGCAGGCUCUGGUUUCGAGAUUG
Non-coding RNA from Paramuricea clavata, 333 nucleotides. Lineage: Eukaryota; Metazoa; Cnidaria; Anthozoa; Malacalcyonacea; Plexauridae. The record is from the annotation of a GenBank genome assembly.